AUUGAACGCUGGCGGCAGGCCUAACACAUGCAAGUCGAACGGUUGAAGGGUGCUUGCUCCUGGAUUCGGCGGCGGACGGGCGAGUGAUGCAUAGGAAUCUGCCUGGCUGUGGUGGAUUGGGUAAGGACACGGGCGCUCUUACCGUAUUCGUCCUGCGGGCGUACGUGGGUGAUCUUCGGACCUCAGGCUAUUAGAUGAGCGGAGGUCGGAUUAGCUAGUUGGUGGGGUAAAGGCCUACCAAGGCGACGAUCCGUAACUGGUCUGAGAGGAUGAUCAGUCACACUGGAACUGAGACACGGUCCAGACUCCUACGGGAGGCAGCAGUGGGGAAUAUUGGACAAUGGGCGAAAGCCUGAUCCAGCCAUACCGCGUGUGUGAAGAAGGCCUUCGGAUUGUAAAGCACUUUAGUUUGGAAAGAAGGGCAGUAAGUUAAUACCUUGCUGUUGUGACGGUACCAACAGAAUAAGCACCGGCUAACUUCGUG
This 484-nucleotide ribosomal RNA is filed under the name uncultured bacterium. RNAcentral describes it as "partial 16S ribosomal RNA". It matches the Rfam family "Bacterial small subunit ribosomal RNA", at positions 30 to 507 of the family's 1533-position model. The record is from RNAcentral.